AGUGCUAGAAUCAGAGUCAUAGAGCACCCCCAGUUGGAAGGGGCCCAUAAGGAUCGCUGAGUCCAACUCCUGAAUCAUCAAGUCCUACUCCUAAGAGUCUGUAUUUGUUUAAGAAAUGACCAAGAAAGGCUUGCGUUAUCCUUACAAUGUGCUAUAGGAAGCAACCCCUACCAAUAUAAGAAUCCAAUUCCAUGCAAGGAAACAAAAACCUCCAGUUACACGUCUUCCAGAUCCAGGCAGUCAUGGAAGGAUGGAAAAGCCCUCUGGGGACCUCUAGCCCACCCUUCUGAUCCAAGGAGGGCUAAAUUCAAAGUAAAAUCAGAUUGCUCAUGGCCUUGUGCAGUGAAGUUUUUAAAACUUCCUGGGGCUGGGUUUUUUGACAAAGACCUUGUACUACAUCCCUCCUUAGUCAUGCCAAACAAGUUCCCUCAGUACCCCUCAGCAUUUUAGCGACAAUCCACAGGACUCUGCAGAGUUUGCUGACAUCUUCAUUAUACUGGAGUGCCCUUCAACUGUCCACAGUUCUCUAGAUGCAACCUCAAGAGUGCUGAGAAGAGGAUAAUAAGCCACAUCCCCACCCUGCCAGCAGCAUCCUUGCUAAUACAGCCCCAAAUUGGGUGUGGAUGUUCAGUGAGUUGGUGUACAAGAGAGAAAAUUACUGAUGGCUCAAAAAAAAGCUAAGAAUGAAUCUACAGACCACAAAUAAUGUCUAAGUUCAGGCUGGAAACUAGAAGUAGUACAAGGCACAGUGAAAGCAGAAGUCUGGAGAAAACUUUCAGUUUCCUGUUGAGAAUGAAGAGUGAAGAGCUAAAGAAUAAGGAUGGAAAAUCCAUACGAUACCUGCCUGGAAGUGUGUGGCACUUUGGAAAAGAUGUCCUUGUCUUGGUUGCCAUGGAUGAGUGGGAGUUGACAGCAAUUACCAACAGGUACCCCAAUGUCUUAAGACGAAGUGACAUACCUGGUUUGGGCCAGGUUCUCACCUUCCAAACUAGGAGCAGAAGGCCAGAAUAGACUGAACCUGUGGGCUCAGAAUUUGGCUGUCUCAAAUUCAGGAGAUGUGGGGUCUUAGAAAUUUUCUCUAAGCCCAUGAGCUGGGAGUCCAACACAAGAAAAAUGAAAAGGAUAUUACAUGGGUGACUGGGGCAGUUUUGGACAGUUUCCCAGUUGCAUAUUUGAAAAUGAGAGGUGGGGGGAGAUAGCAGGAGAGUGAAAGAA
Numida meleagris (helmeted guineafowl) is the source of this 1215-nucleotide long non-coding RNA. RefSeq lists it as uncharacterized. The record is from RefSeq and is a predicted model, not a curated record. Lineage: Eukaryota; Metazoa; Chordata; Aves; Galliformes; Numididae. The transcript is spliced from 3 exons.